Molecule: unclassified non-coding RNA, 336 nt
Filed under: soil metagenome
Description: partial contains 5.8S ribosomal RNA, internal transcribed spacer 2, and large subunit ribosomal RNA
Rfam family: 5.8S ribosomal RNA (bases 1-120)
Source: RNAcentral
GAUGAAGAACGCAGCGAAAUGCGAUAAGUAAUGUGAAUUGCAGAAUUCAGUGAAUCAUCGAAUCUUUGAACGCACAUUGCGCCCGGUAGUAUUCUGCCGGGCAUGCCUGUUCGAGCGUCAUUUCAACCAUCAAGCCCCCGGCUUGUGUUGGGGACCUGCGGCUGCCGCAGGCCCUGAAAAGCAGUGGCGGGCUCGCUGUCACACCGAGCGUAGUAGCAUACAUCUCGCUCUGGGCGUGCUGCGGGUUCCGGCCGUUAAACCACCUUCAUAACCCAAGGUUGACCUCGGAUCAGGUAGGAAGACCCGCUGAACUUAAGCAUAUCAAUAAGCGGAGGA